CCUCAUAGCUUAGUUGGUAAAUCAUCUACCUCCAAUGCAGGAGACCCGGGUUCGAUUCCUGGGUUGAGGA
Molecule: transfer RNA, 70 nt
Filed under: Ovis aries (sheep)
Lineage: Eukaryota; Metazoa; Chordata; Mammalia; Artiodactyla; Bovidae
Rfam family: tRNA
About the family: Transfer RNA (tRNA) molecules are approximately 80 nucleotides in length. Their secondary structure includes four short double-helical elements and three loops (D, anti-codon, and T loops).
Source: Rfam by way of RNAcentral